Takifugu rubripes (torafugu) is the source of this 75-nucleotide small nucleolar RNA. Ensembl annotates it as small nucleolar RNA SNORD101. The record is from Ensembl. Lineage: Eukaryota; Metazoa; Chordata; Actinopteri; Tetraodontiformes; Tetraodontidae.
AUUUGAAUGAUGACUUAAAUCUUUUGUCGGAUACCCCUUCACUCUCCAAUGAGUGAGAUCUGUGUUCUGACCUGC